This 855-nucleotide ribosomal RNA is filed under the name Staphylococcus aureus. RNAcentral describes it as "bacterial SSU rRNA". It matches the Rfam family "Bacterial small subunit ribosomal RNA", at positions 1 to 838 of the family's 1533-position model. The record is from RNAcentral. Lineage: Bacteria; Bacillati; Bacillota; Bacilli; Caryophanales; Staphylococcaceae.
UUUAUGGAGAGUUUGAUCCUGGCUCAGGAUGAACGCUGGCGGCGUGCCUAAUACAUGCAAGUCGAGCGAACGGACGAGAAGCUUGCUUCUCUGAUGUUAGCGGCGGACGGGUGAGUAACACGUGGAUAACCUACCUAUAAGACUGGGAUAACUUCGGGAAACCGGAGCUAAUACCGGAUAAUAUUUUGAACCGCAUGGUUCAAAAGUGAAAGACGGUCUUGCUGUCACUUAUAGAUGGAUCCGCGCUGCAUUAGCUAGUUGGUAAGGUAACGGCUUACCAAGGCAACGAUGCAUAGCCGACCUGAGAGGGUGAUCGGCCACACUGGAACUGAGACACGGUCCAGACUCCUACGGGAGGCAGCAGUAGGGAAUCUUCCGCAAUGGGCGAAAGCCUGACGGAGCAACGCCGCGUGAGUGAUGAAGGUCUUCGGAUCGUAAAACUCUGUUAUUAGGGAAGAACAUAUGUGUAAGUAACUGUGCACAUCUUGACGGUACCUAAUCAGAAAGCCACGGCUAACUACGUGCCAGCAGCCGCGGUAAUACGUAGGUGGCAAGCGUUAUCCGGAAUUAUUGGGCGUAAAGCGCGCGUAGGCGGUUUUUUAAGUCUGAUGUGAAAGCCCACGGCUCAACCGUGGAGGGUCAUUGGAAACUGGAAAACUUGAGUGCAGAAGAGGAAAGUGGAAUUCCAUGUGUAGCGGUGAAAUGCGCAGAGAUAUGGAGGAACACCAGUGGCGAAGGCGACUUUCUGGUCUGUAACUGACGCUGAUGUGCGAAAGCGUGGGGAUCAAACAGGAUUAGAUACCCUGGUAGUCCACGCCGUAAACGAUGAGUGCUAAGUGUUAGGGGGUUUCCGCC